This 497-nucleotide ribosomal RNA is filed under the name uncultured bacterium. RNAcentral's name for it is "partial 16S ribosomal RNA". It matches the Rfam family "Bacterial small subunit ribosomal RNA", at positions 28 to 507 of the family's 1533-position model. The record is from RNAcentral.
GAUGAACGCUGGCGGCGUGCCUAAUACAUGCAAGUCGAGCGAACGGACGAGAAGCUUGCUUCUCUGAUGUUAGCGGCGGACGGGUGAGUAACACGUGGAUAACCUACCUAUAAGACUGGGAUAACUUCGGGAAACCGGAGCUAAUACCGGAUAAUAUUUUGAACCGCAUGGUUCAAAAGUGAAAGACGGUCUUGCUGUCACUUAUAGAUGGAUCCGCGCUGCAUUAGCUAGUUGGUAAGGUAACGGCUUACCAAGGCAACGAUGCAUAGCCGACCUGAGAGGGGGAUCGGCCACACUGGAACUGAGACAAGGUCCAGACUCCUACGGGAGGAAGCAGUAGGGAAUCUUCCGCAAUGGGCGAAAGCCUGACGGAGCAACGCCGCGUGAGUGAUGAAGGUCUUCGGAUCGUAAAACUCUGUUAUUAGGGAAGAACAUAUGUGUAAGUAACUGUGCACAUCUUGACGGUACCUAAUCAGAAAGCCACGGCUAACUACGUG